UACGUAGGGAGCAAGCGUUGUCCGGAAUCAUUGGGCGUAAAGCGCGCGUAGGCGGCCCUGUAAGUCCGUUGUGAAAGUCAAAGGCUCAACCUUUGAAAGCCGAUGGAUACUGCAGGGCUGGAGUCCGGAAGAGGCGAGUGGAAUUCAUGGUGUAGCGGUGGAAUGCGCAGAUAUCAGGAAGAACACCAACGGCGAAGGCAGCUCGCUGGGACGGAACUGACGCUAAGGCGCGAAAGCGUGGGGAGCGAACAGG
RNAcentral lists this ribosomal RNA (253 nucleotides) under uncultured bacterium. Its description in RNAcentral is "partial 16S ribosomal RNA". It matches the Rfam family "Bacterial small subunit ribosomal RNA", at positions 524 to 776 of the family's 1533-position model. The record is from RNAcentral.